Long non-coding RNA from Thunnus maccoyii (southern bluefin tuna), 392 nucleotides. RefSeq lists it as uncharacterized. The transcript has 3 exons. The record is from RefSeq and is a predicted model, not a curated record. NCBI's taxonomy places the organism in Eukaryota, Metazoa, Chordata, Actinopteri, Scombriformes, Scombridae.
UCAGCCGGCCGUCCAGUUUGCAGGAUUUCACCCCGAACUAACUUUCUCCGACUUGUAACCUCCCUCAAACUCUCUCCUGCGUAUACUGUCUCUCUCUCUCUCUCUCUCUCUCUCUCUCUCUUUCACAGCCCGGUGCUCACACAAACAGAUCAGCUUUCUCCCGCCUACCCACCCUGCUCUAGGAUUAUCCAGUUUGUGUGUGUGUGUGUGUGUGUGUGUGCGACAGAGAGUGAGUUUCAGAACAGACACCUAGAGCUCACUGCAGGACAGAAAUAUUUUCUCCGCCGCCUGGUCCAAUAACACAAGAACCCACAUCUCCCCUCCAUCCCUUCAUCCUCACCAGGGCCUUGGCGUUGGGGUUGGCCUUUUUAUCCACGAUGACCUUUGCCACC